RNAcentral lists this long non-coding RNA (1108 nucleotides) under Coturnix japonica (Japanese quail). RNAcentral's name for it is "lncRNA (ENSCJPG00005013589.1)". The record is from RNAcentral. Lineage: Eukaryota; Metazoa; Chordata; Aves; Galliformes; Phasianidae.
CAUGCAUAUAAAAAAGAAAAAAAAAAAAAAAAGAAAAUCUGGAAGCCUGGAUGUUUUCCUAAAGUAUUUAAUAGCACUGAGGAUGUGAAAUACUGUACUGAGUCCUCUGGGAAACCUACAAUUAGUGGAAUGAAAAUACCGCCUGUAAAUGAUUGAGCUCCUGAAACAGUGUGAGCAAUUAAAAUGCUAUACAGGACAGAGUUGAAAAUCCUUACAGGAUUAUCACAGUGAGGCAUUGUUUAAAAGGAUGUCCUUGAGUUGGACAGUAGCAGCAGCAUUGCUUGUAGAUGUUUCUCAGAGUUCCUGUGGGAGUGGGAGGCUGCAGACAUGGUGUGCAGUACCUGCUUAGCCUCAUGUUUUCUUCCACUUAUACUCUCACUGUUCCAACUGAGAGAAACUCUUCAUGCCAUAUUUAUUUCGUUCCACGAGGACUGCAGGAGAAAGACUGCAAGCAUUCCUCAACCUACCUGAGACACAGACCUUGAAAUAUAGAGGGAAGAGUAGAGCCUUGGAACUGGACUAAUCGUUUUGGGUUGCUGCUGGGAGCACAAUGGUGGCAAAGUGCUGUGACAAGGGACCCUGCUCUUGAACCAACAACAGGAACUAAGCUGACAAGACAAUGAUGGUAUUUUGGCUCAGCUGGCAAAAACAUUGCUUUUGGACAGACUGGAAAUGUUACAUUGAGAAGCAGUUAGUACACCGUUGUGUAAGGUUCCUAAUGGACUGGAGCCAGAACGCUCCAUUAACCACAUGUGUAUGAAAUAUUCAUUGUGCUUGGCUUUUAUUGCCAAGAAGAAGAAAGGUGGAGAAGCUUUGUGUAUAGAGAUAAAGCUGUCAGUAUUGAGGGCUGAAGGAAGGAGUUGAUAACGUGUUCUGAAAUUUUUCACUCUUCAUAUGAGAAGGAUUUUGAGUCUUCAGCAGGGGGCAAAUGUGUGCAGAUUAAAUGCAAGACUUGUUGCUGGGUUUUACAUUUCAUGUAUAAUUUUCCAAAGGGAGAAGGCACCUCCUGUAUCUGUGCCAAACCCCCUGAUCUAUUUUAUACUGUAUGGACCCUGGAAAUGAAACUAAGAGUCAAUCUUUAGAAAAUAAAAUGUGAGAACCACAACCA